This 122-nucleotide ribosomal RNA is filed under the name Streptomyces galbus. RNAcentral's name for it is "partial 16S ribosomal RNA". It matches the Rfam family "Bacterial small subunit ribosomal RNA", at positions 1 to 123 of the family's 1533-position model. Lineage: Bacteria; Bacillati; Actinomycetota; Actinomycetes; Kitasatosporales; Streptomycetaceae. The record is from RNAcentral. RNAcentral also lists the same sequence under 1 other name.
CAUUCACGGAGAGUUUGAUCCUGGCUCAGGACGAACGCUGGCGGCGUGCUUAACACAUGCAAGUCGAACGAUGAACCACUUCGGUGGGGAUUAGUGGCGAACGGGUGAGUAACACGUGGGCA